This 208-nucleotide long non-coding RNA is filed under the name Trifolium pratense (red clover). RNAcentral describes it as "long non-coding RNA (TPRA_LNC007017)". Lineage: Eukaryota; Viridiplantae; Streptophyta; Magnoliopsida; Fabales; Fabaceae. The record is from RNAcentral.
UCUAGUAUAUAUACAGCUAGAAAAGAGUCGUUGCAGAAAUGACCGUUGAAGUAGAUAACCUUUUGUCUUCAAGCAACUUGUCUUGAUGCAGUUUGGUUGUUUCUAAAACUGAGUAAGAGUUUCAGAUACUUUGACCAUGUACAGAGAAGACUUUCCUUAUUCAGCUAACAAGUCUGAUGUCCCACGUUCUCAAGAGUGGACAGACAAA